AGUGAACGCUGGCGGUAGGCCUAACACAUGCAAGUCGAACGGCAGCACAGUAAGAGCUUGCUCUUACGGGUGGCGAGUGGCGGACGGGUGAGGAAUACAUCGGAAUCUACUUUUUCGUGGGGGAUAACGUAGGGAAACUUACGCUAAUACCGCAUACGACCUACGGGUGAAAGCAGGGGAUCUUCGGACCUUGCGCGAUUGAAUGAGCCGAUGUCGGAUUAGCUAGUUGGCGGGGUAAAGGCCCACCAAGGCGACGAUCCGUAGCUGGUCUGAGAGGAUGAUCAGCCACACUGGAACUGAGACACGGUCCAGACUCCUACGGGAGGAAGCAGUGGGGAAUAUUGGACGAUGGGCGCAAGCCUGAUCCAGCCAUACCGCGUGGGUGAAGAAGGCCUUCUGGUUGUAAAGCCCUUUUGUUGGGAAAGAAAAGCAGCAGGUUAAUACCCCGCUGUUCUGACGGUACCCAAAGAAUAAGCACCGGCUAACUUCGUG
RNAcentral lists this ribosomal RNA (492 nucleotides) under uncultured bacterium. RNAcentral's name for it is "partial 16S ribosomal RNA". It matches the Rfam family "Bacterial small subunit ribosomal RNA", at positions 29 to 507 of the family's 1533-position model. The record is from RNAcentral.